Molecule: long non-coding RNA, 328 nt
Organism: Triticum dicoccoides
Lineage: Eukaryota; Viridiplantae; Streptophyta; Magnoliopsida; Poales; Poaceae
Exons: 3
Source: RefSeq, a predicted model, not a curated record
ACCACCCUUGUAGGUAACAUAUGGAUUUAAAUCAUGUAUUAUUGGAAAACCAGCAUAUGUUAUUGCUCGUCUGGUGAUAAGUGUCAUCAGCCAACUCCUAUGUGGAUACAACACCCUCCCUCUAUAUGCUCUCAUAUCUCAAAUGGGAGGUUCGUUUAAGAAAGCCAUGUUCGAUGAAAGUAUAUCUGAAGGCCUCACCAAUUGGGCUCAAAAGGCUAGGAAGCGUAAUAGAAUGACAACACCAAGUGUUGGUGACAAUUCACCCGUUGGUGAGGGAAUUCAAAUGACAAAUGACUGCUAGGUUCAUCUAAGUGAAUACAUAUCAAUG